CACAAAAUUAAAACCUCGUGGCCAUCUGCAAUCGACCCCAAAACUUGUGGAGUAACCUGCAGUUAACUCGAGAUAAAAAUGCUCACAUUGAUGUAAUUAACUGAGAGAGAGACCUAUCUGAAAAGCAAAUAAGCAAAGCAAACGGUGCUGUGGUGUGCACGCUUCUAUGAUUGCCUAUGGUAGCACGGCAUGCAAAUGCAAUACUUCAAAGUUAAGCAACCACCCCCACCUGCAAUUCUAUUUAGCAAACACUGCCUACCACUUCCCUUUCAGACUUCAACUGCAAAAAAUUACCAACAAAUUAAUCAAAUUUUCUUAUGGCACCCAUCACCAACCUCGUCUGCUUCCUUCUCACUCACUUUGGUUUUCUCUGGACACCCACGUUGCUCCACAACUUCAGGUAUGAAAACCUCACUGAGCUUGAGCGAUAUACAUUCCAAAGUUACAGCUACCGGCAUUUGAUUGUUGUUCAAUCUUAAUCAAGACAUAUAUGUGUGUGUUCAUAUGUAUACAUGCUCAAAGAAUCAAAGCUCCACAUGACCGGCUGUGUGUGAUCCCCGUCGAUGAGUGAUCAUGAAGGCCGUUCAUCGGUUUUGGAGCUGCAGAUGGUGUUGUGAUCAUAGCAAAACAUCACCGUAAAUGUACUGUUAUGAUCAGGAGAAAUUAUUGUAUGUAUCAUAUACGCAACGUGGCAUUCAUUUCUGUUGUCAUAUGGUGCAUUGCAAUGUAGUUUUUAACUUUGUUUUUGUGGGUCUUAUUAUUUGCUUUAAUUGGGAUUGAUAUUGAAUGUAACAACUUUUUAUUUAGUACAUAUUCUACACUAA
Molecule: long non-coding RNA, 824 nt
Organism: Pyrus x bretschneideri (Chinese white pear)
Lineage: Eukaryota; Viridiplantae; Streptophyta; Magnoliopsida; Rosales; Rosaceae
Exons: 2
Source: RefSeq, a predicted model, not a curated record